AGAUCCGGCAAGGAACGCAACUAGCGGACAAGGAGCACCUUAAGCUAGACGGCAGUUAAUCGAUCGAGGUUUUAGGAGUAGCAAGCGUCUUUCCUUUCAGGUAAAAUAUUUUGACGUGACGGACUUCUAUCCUUGUUCAGAAGUCCGUAUUUUGGAAGUAUGUAAAUAAGAAGACGUCGAUCGAUAGUGCUGCAGUAGAUGUCAAGUCCUAGUUAUGAAUAUGGCUUUGUUAAACGGUUUUAAUGUUUUAUCCAACUCUGAUAUGUAAAUAAAGUUUUAAACUGCGCUUUUAACCGUUUACUAUAUUUUGCAAACCGGGCUAUGCUUGAUGUGUGACAUCGCAUAAUAAGACCCUGGCUUAUCGAACAUCGCUUUCGGACGAUGUUAUAAGUAUUGUAAAUAUUUCAAGUUUAUGAAAAUGUUUAUGAUGGUUUGUUUUGUUUA
This is a long non-coding RNA of Mercurialis annua (annual mercury), 444 nucleotides long. RefSeq lists it as uncharacterized. The transcript has 2 exons. Lineage: Eukaryota; Viridiplantae; Streptophyta; Magnoliopsida; Malpighiales; Euphorbiaceae. The record is from RefSeq and is a predicted model, not a curated record.